UCUGGACUGCUGGGACUCUAAGCUAGGCCCUCCCCAGGUUCCAUCACUGCGGCGCCAACCCGCGGCUGGGCUGUCCGCAAGAGGGAGUUGAAGGCGCGCGGAAUCCCGAGGUGCAGCUGACCCUCCUCUCAACGCCGACUCUGCCGCUCCCGCCCGGCCACCUCCCUGUCGGGCAGACUUCCUGUUCUCCUGCUCACAGCAGGGAGGCAGUCGCCGAGCCGGUCAGCAGCGUGCACGGAGAUCUUCACUCUGCGCCCAGCCCCGGGACACAGGUGCAGAUCUCCAGCGGAGCACUGCGGAGUGCGCGCCGUCGAGCACUAGGGAAUCCUAGACGGAGGACUUGGUCCAUUCCACGCAGUCCCAGGCAGGUCCGCAGCGGAGGGACGCAGCGGUCUCCAACUCCUGGUCACGACUUCGGCGACCCUCCACCCCCUGAGAGACCUGGUCCCACGGAGCUGUCCCCCCAGGAGCCGCAGCGGGAAUAGCAAAGCAAAGGGGACCACUCAGCCCCCAGGAGGAGCCCUGAAGCAAAAAGGUUGCUGCGGGGAGCCACGUUCCCUCUGGUUCACCUCGAAGCCCAGGAGCUCCGGUCCCUGGACCAAGGAGUGAACAGACCUGAGGAAGAGGUGCAAGCUUAAAGUGUUGCUGCCAGACCUUUCUUCUCUUCUAAUUUACCAAGUGAAGAAUGUUGAAAUAUCCAACUAUAAUUUGUGGAUUUCUCCUUUCAAUGCUAUCAUUUUUGGUGCUUCAUGUAUUUUUGAAGCUCUAUUAUUAGUCCAGCCGAGCUGCCAUCUCUUCAAGGAAGUUUUCCCUGAAGCCCUCAGGUAGACCCGUUUUUCCAUGGCGGCCACAUCAGCAUGCAGCACAUUUAAUUGGAAGUCUCCACAUAUGAGUUGGUUUUCCUUACUUAAAAUAUGCUUAUCAUCCCUUGGAGGUCUGAUGCAUUUUUCUGUCUCUGCAGACCAGCUCCUCCCCCCUCCAAAUCUCAAUGGAAGAAUGCGACAUUCUGGAUUCAGCUACCCAAAGAGGGGUUUUUUCCCCCUCUUUGUCUCUAUUAUACAUUUUAUAGGAAGGAAUUCUGUCCCAGUUAAUUCAAACUGGGACCAGAGGAACAGGGUCCCGCUGCUCAAAAUGGCUGUCACCCGUGGGUAAGGGGAGCAGUCAGAGAGUCAUUGUGACUGGGGUGGCAGUCCCACUCCAAUCUGCCUUGUGGCUUCCUAGCCUGCAACAUACAUCCUCCCAGACAUACAAAAUGUGCCUCUGCCUGAGUCUUCCUGGCAGGGAGUUUGGUACCCCCCAACAUUGGGAGGGGAGCUUACAACACAGGACUAUCUCUUCCCAUAGAUAAUCUCCUCACAAAGCUCCACUCAGGACCACUUAUAUUCUUGAGCACUUGAAAAUAUUGGCUAUUUCCUUCUGACCCCCAUGGUUUCUUUUAAAAAAUUUGCUGUUGUUUGAAUUAUUUUUCUCUACAGGUAUUGACUGCUGCCUCAUGAAGGCUGGUCCUGUCUCUAUAGUGAAUAUUGUGCACCUCAGGGUAGAAUGGAGAGCAGAAGACUUCAAAUCAGGCAGUCUGGGUUCAGACCCCAAUUCUAGUGCUAAAUAGCUACGUGACUUUAGGCCGAUUGUGUGUGACUUCCCUGAGCCCCAGUCUCUUUGCCUGCAAAAUGAGAAAAAUUAUAACAAUGUCAUCGGUUGUUCUGAGGAUUCUGAGAGGAAUUAGUAGGAGAGAGAACUAAGAAGCUGCGGGCCUCUACAGAGCCAUUCAACUGGCAUUUCGGAAGAUGUUGCCCAUCAGAGUCAGACCUUCUUAGCAUCUUCCGGCUGGGCCCAAACUUCCCAAGACCAUUUGGACAAGGUCAUCUCUAUCCCACCAUGGCCUCCUCCCAGAGGAGGAGAAGAAUCAUGCUGUUACAGCAGAACCGAAGAUUUGGGCAAGGGAGCUAAUGAUUAUGUUCUGCGUCAGGUCAGAGAUGGGCUGGGAAAGCCACUCCAAAGCCAAGACAAGCAGUUUCCUGGAAAAAGAAGGCUGCGCGGAGCCCAGAGUGGCCUGGAUCCUGCCUCAUUUCCUGGACCAGCUCCUUAGGUGGUUACUGGAUUGCCAAUAAAGCAGAGCUUAUUAAAGUCAACGAGCUCAGGCUUCAUCGCCGCCAUGGUAUCCAAGCACCAGUCUGUCUGGGAUUUCAUUUGCCAGAUGGACAAAGGAGAGGUUGUUCCAAUACAUAUCCUGAGUGGUGGGGGUGGGGAGAGAAGGGGAAGAAUGCUCUCUAGAGAAUUCUCUUUGUCCUCUGAAGUAAAUAGAGAUCAUGUCUUCCCCAGCCACACUCAGUGAUCUGAAUCUCUUGGACUGUGGAUUUUUCCUUUACCUGCUGUGAAGCCUUGAAAAGUAUGAAUUAGCUUGAUAAUGAUCCUCUAAAGAUGUUCAAGAGUUAAAGACGUGUUUAAGUUCUUCAGGCAAUCCAAUAUGACUACGGGUUUCCAAAAAUUUGAAGGAAACUGAAAAUCAUAGUUCCCAAACCAGAUAUUUUCCGGUGUCCAGAUGUUCACUGGCAUGCAAACCAAAUGUCUGGAUUAUGAGCUCCUUUUUUCAUUUCUUUUUAUCAGCUUACAUCCAGAUGUUGGAUCCAACUGGUCAGAGGCCUGGGGCAGAGACAGAAAUCAAAUCUAGGGUGUUCAUCUAGAGUCUCCUGCUCCUCCAUUCCUGCUUCCUCCUCACGCUGCCCCCACAUCCUCCCCAACUCACCUUCAUGCUACAUCUCGGCAAAUACAGCUCAUAUCCAGGCACGGUGCAGCCCUUGACAGCUGGGUCCGCAAAGGCAGAUCGGGUAUAUCUUUAAAGAAAAGUUAUCUUAACCAUUGAGAAGCCUUCCUUCCUCAGAGGAGAGCACCUCCCCAGCAGACCUCCGAGGAGACCAAGGGCAGGACAGGAAGGGUGAAAGGAAGUUUCAGGACUGCAGGAAAUAAGAGCUUGGAGGUCAAGGGAGAGAUCAGAUAAAACAUGAAUCUGAUCAGCAUCCUAGUGGUCUAGAGUGGAGACAAUCUGCGGAGUCAACCUCAGUAAGGACACACAUAGAGAAGAACCAAAGCCUCUAAAGACGAAGCUGAGAAGUGUACGGUCGUAGAAGACUCGUGUCUGUUAUUCUUAAAAGCUCAAGGAGAUGUUCUGCCAAUUGAAUGGAAACUGUCCAUAGUGGGGAGCAGAGAGCCUCAUCUUUUCUGGAACUGAACAUCCAUCCUUAAGGCCAGAUUUCUCCCAUCACCAACUUUAACUCCUGCCCUAGCCCUCUCUCUUCCUUUUCAAAACCCUCUCCACCCAGGAAGGGAGAUUCUGGAGCCAAGACUGUACCAGCCACACCUCCCCAGAGUUGUUAAGGAAGGAACUCGAAGCCAGGGGUGGUCUUCUGGCAAGCACCCCCACUACCAGUAGCAGGACAGAUGUGUUUCUAAUGGACUACACUAUCCCCGGAGGUCACAUGAUUCAGGCUGCCAAGGGUACCUGCCCUUGGGAAAUCAACUCCCGAAGAUAAAUUGGGAUUGGGUCCUGAGAAGAUCCAUGGAAGCCCAGAGGACCCUGCCUCUCUCUGUUGCUUCAUGCUGUAGAGGCAGUACUGGGGAGGGCCUGCCCCACAUCCGGCAGGGCAGCUGGAACCAUGUGUUUGAUGACACUCUGCUCCCUCAAUGUGGAGCCUCAUCCUCAUCUCACAGUCUAGCAGGCCUCUGGUGGGUUAGGCUUGUCUCACCCAGUGUGUGAGUUUUUUUGGAAGUGACCUGAUUUUGGAGUUUCCCUCCAAGCCUUUCUCAGGUACAUGCUUUCUCUUUUAUUCUGUCUUCUUUUUUUGAUCUUCUUAAAUCUGAUUUUCUCCUUUUUCCCUCUCUUGUCUCCAUCUUUUUUCCAGUCUCUCGCUUCUCUUUAUUUCUCCCCAUAUUUCACUCUGUUCUCUCACCCCAACCUUUCCCUUCUGUUUCUCUCCCUCCCUCUCUUCCCACCCCCUGCCUGGCCUUCCAUAUAUCAAGCAGAGUUUUAUCACCUUAUGCAGGGGCAGCCCUGCCACCUGCCAUAAAGUUGAUAGGCUAAUGACAUUUUGUGGAUAUUGCCAUGUCACAAGUCCAGGACAGCAUCAAAAAUAGCCCUGAUGUCUAAACCACUUCAGCUAUCUUUUUUAUUUUUAAAAUAAAUACAUUCACAUGCUUUUAAGAAACUAUAAAAAUAUAUAAAGUAAAAAGAUCUUUCUCUCACACUGUCUCCACCUCUCCUGGUCUCACCGUUGUGCUUAGGGGAAACCAUUGUGAUUAGUUUCUCCUGUGUCCUUCCAGAGUGUCUUUAUGCAAAUGAAAAUUAUUGUGAUAAUAUAUUCCUAUUUUCCCCCUUACUACACAAAAGAUAGACUACCAUAAUCCCAUUCUGCACUUUUUUUUCACUUGAUAAUAAAAACAUGAUUU
RNAcentral lists this long non-coding RNA (4440 nucleotides) under Homo sapiens (human). Its description in RNAcentral is "HSALNT0390444". Lineage: Eukaryota; Metazoa; Chordata; Mammalia; Primates; Hominidae. The record is from RNAcentral.